GACGAACGCUGGCGGCGUGCUUAACACAUGCAAGUCGAGCGGUAAGGCCCUUUCGGGGGUACACGAGCGGCGAACGGGUGAGUAACACGUGGGUGACCUGCCCUCAGCUCUGGGAUAAGCCUGGGAAACCGGGUCUAAUACUGGAUAUGACUCCAUGACGCACGUUGUGGGGUGGAAAGCCUUGUGCGGCUGAGGAUGGGCCCGCGGCCUAUCAGCUUGUUGGUGGGGUGAUGGCCUACCAAGGCGACGACGGGUAGCCGGCCUGAGAGGGCGACCGGCCACACUGGGGACUGAGACACGGCCCAGACUCCUACGGGAGGCAGCAGUGGGGAAUCUUGCGCAAUGGGCGAAAGCCUGACGCAGCGACGCCGCGUGAGGGAUGACGGCCU
Molecule: ribosomal RNA, 389 nt
Filed under: uncultured bacterium
Lineage: Bacteria
Description: bacterial SSU rRNA
Rfam family: Bacterial small subunit ribosomal RNA
Source: RNAcentral